Piliocolobus tephrosceles (Ugandan red Colobus) is the source of this 1694-nucleotide RNA transcript. It is a transcript of the gene named aldo-keto reductase family 1 member E2, with no coding region annotated. The transcript has 10 exons. NCBI's taxonomy places the organism in Eukaryota, Metazoa, Chordata, Mammalia, Primates, Cercopithecidae. The record is from RefSeq and is a predicted model, not a curated record.
GCUUCCAGCCAUUGUCGGACUGUCAACCGUCACCAUGCCCUUCCAGCCAAUCGCAGCCGCCCGUCGCCAGCGCGGCGGUAACUGGCGCGGCGUCUGUGGGUAGUCGCGCGCGGGGCGGCGGCGGCGGCGGCCAUGGGAGAUAUCCCCGCCGUGGGCCUCAGCUGCUGGAAGGCUUCUCCGGGGAAAGUGACUGAGGCAGUGAAAGUAGCCGUUGACGCAGGGUACCGGCACUUCAACUGUGCUUACUUUUACCACAACGAGAAGGAGGUUGGAGCAGGGAUCCGUUACAAGAUCAAGGAAGGAGCCGUAAGACGGGAGGAUCUGUUCAUUGCCAGUAAGCUAUGGUGCACCUGCCACAAGAAGUCCUUAGUGAAAACAGCGUGCAGAAGGAGUCUAAAGGCCUUGAAGCUGAACUAUUUGGACCUCUACCUCAUACACUGGCCCAUGGGUUUCAAGCCUCCUCAUCCAGAAUGGAUCAUGAGCUGCAGUGAACUUUCCUUCUGCCUCUCACGUCCUGGAGUGCACGACUUGCCUCUGGACGAGAGUGACAUGGUCAUCCCUGGUGACACAGACUUCCUGGACACGUGGGAGGCCAUGGAGGACCUGGUGAUCACCGGGCUGGUGAAGAACAUCGGGGUGUCAAACUUCAACCAUGAGCAACUUGAGAGGCUUUUGAAUAAGCCUGGGUUGAGAUUCAAGCCAGUAACCAACCAGAUUGAGUGCCACCCAUAUCUUACUCAGAAGAAUCUGAUCAGUUUUUGCCAAUCCAGAGAUGUGUCCGUGACUGCUUACCGUCCUCUUGGUGGCUCAUGUGAAGGGGUUGACCUGAUAGACGACCCUGUGAUCCAGAGGAUUGCAAAGGAGCACAGCAAGUCUCCUGCUCAGAUCUUGAUCCGAUUUCAAAUCCAGAGGAAUGUGAUAGUGAUCCCUGGAUCUAUCACCCCAAGUCACAUUAAAGAGAAUAUCCAGGUGUUUGAUUUUGAGUUAACACAGCACGAUAUGGAUAACAUCCUCAGCCUAGACAGGAAUCUCCGACUGGCCACAUUCCCCAUGUAAAUAUGACUCCUUCUUUUAAAAGUAGAGGGAAGAAUAUACAGAUUGGAUGACUGGUGUCUGAAUAGAACUAAAAAUCACAAAGACUAUCCUUUCCACAUAGAAUACUGAGGACAGCUUCCCGUUCCUUGUUUCUGCUCAGCCCAGAUGCACCAACACCAUUGGUGAUGUUGACCCUCCUCUGUCAUCACAGCGCCAGGGCAGCUGUGCCUGGGAUGGGAGCCACACAGUCGGGGGGUGCAAGAGCCGCCUUCUCUGGCAAAUCUGGAGAAUUGAGUAUGUUCUAAGUGAAGGCAGUGGGGUUUCUCCAAGACAGCCUGUGUGGCCUCUACUCUGAAAAAAGACACUGAUGAUUGAUCAAUGAAAUUUGCCUUCACAUUUUAAGAAAACUUUAUCUUAUGGAAUUAUUUAAGCCAUCUGCAGAGCUGAGGACACAGUGUCAUGUGUCUCUGCCCCAUUGCCCAGCUCCACCAAUUGUGCCCCAGGCCAGCCUGCGUCACCUUCAAUUCCUUCUCGGCCCUGCCAAUGACCCCCAGGUUAUUCUAAAGCAGAGUCCUUCCCUUUUCCCACUGGGAAGUGCAAUGGGAUAAGUCUGGGACACUGUCAGAGUUCAAUAAAGAGACUUUUUUCUUCCUUAAAAA